GCCUUCGUGGUGUAGUGGCAGCACACUCGGCGAGUAACCGAGAGAUCAGUGGUUCGAUUCCCGGCGAGGGCA
Molecule: transfer RNA, 72 nt
Filed under: Stegodyphus mimosarum
Lineage: Eukaryota; Metazoa; Arthropoda; Arachnida; Araneae; Eresidae
Rfam family: tRNA
About the family: Transfer RNA (tRNA) molecules are approximately 80 nucleotides in length. Their secondary structure includes four short double-helical elements and three loops (D, anti-codon, and T loops).
Source: Rfam by way of RNAcentral